This 435-nucleotide ribosomal RNA is filed under the name uncultured bacterium. RNAcentral's name for it is "partial 16S ribosomal RNA". It matches the Rfam family "Bacterial small subunit ribosomal RNA", at positions 28 to 507 of the family's 1533-position model. The record is from RNAcentral.
GAUGAACGCUGGCGGUAUGCUUAACACAUGCAAGUCGAACGGACUCUUCGGAGUUAGUGGCGGACGGGUGAGUAACGCGUGAGAAUCUGGCUUUGGGUUCGGGACAACCACUGGAAACGGUGGCUAAUACCGGAUGUGCCGAGAGGUAAAAGAGAAAUUGCCUGAAGAUGAGCUCGCGUCUGAUUAGCUAGUUGGUGAGGUAAAGGCUCACCAAGGCAGCGAUCAGUAGCUGGUCUGAGAGGAUGACCAGCCACACUGGGACUGAGACACGGCCCAGACUCCUACGGGAGGCAGCAGUGGGGAAUUUUCCGCAAUGGGCGAGAGCCUGACGGAGCAAUACCGCGUGAGGGAAGAAGGCUCUUGGGUUGUAAACCUCUUUUCUUAGGGAAGAACAAAAUGACGGUACCUAAGGAAUCAGCAUCGGCUAACUCCGUG